Molecule: non-coding RNA, 977 nt
Organism: Paramisgurnus dabryanus
Lineage: Eukaryota; Metazoa; Chordata; Actinopteri; Cypriniformes; Cobitidae
Source: RefSeq, a predicted model, not a curated record
GUAAUGUUUUAUUUGUUAGCAUAGCAUGAUAUUAGAUUUAAACACUUAAUACAUUUUUAAAUCAAUCACUUUGUCUCUGCACAAUGAACAUUAUCAAAUAUUAUUAAUGUUGUAAAAUAUAUUGUUCAUUGUUAGUUCAUAUUAGCUAAGGCAUUACCAAAUGUUAAGGAAUAAACUCUUAUAGUAAAGUGUUACUAAGUUUUCUUUUACCAUUUCCUUCACAAUGUCUACUUAUUUCUAUGGCUAACAGAUUUUGUAACAUUUGUCUUUUUUACAGUCUUACCAUUGCUUGUAAGCUGGAUUGGGUAAGAUGGAUCAUCUUUAAAGGCACCAGGCAAGUACAUGAUGUACAGUUACAAGUCAUGUAUUUUUUUGACUGCAAUAUUAAAUGCUUUCACGUCACAUGUAAAAGUACACAGGAAUGUGCUGAUCACUUUUUAUUUGUAGUUUACAUGAGUGUCAUUGCACUUUUCAGGAGUUAAGGCAGAUGUGGAGGCACAACGGGUGACACCAGACACACACCAAGCACAUUGUUCGGACAUUCAAUCAUGACAUGAUCCAUGUGGAUGCUGUCCAUUGAGGAAAGAGUUUGUUCAGCGGUUUCUGGAUAGAAUUAAUUCCAAAGAUGGGAAAAAGUGCACAUCCAGACAAGGAGCAAGCAAAUAGACAAGGAACUUGGUGCAGAGAAAAGCUGUGGCCAUUAACCCCUGUGAACAGCUUCAUGCAGUCCCUGAUUGAGUUCGAAUGGACGACUUCAAAGUAAAGGCCACUGUGGUCUGUCUGCCACAGUUUAAUUUUUAAUUUAUUUUUAGUGUUCAAUGAAAUUCAAGUAGAAUAUUUAAAACUAUGGGCCAGUGUUCUUUUUACCACAGUGAAAUGUUACCUUUUAGUCGAUGAUGGACUUUAAACUGAAAACUUCAAACUAUGGAACAGUGUUCUAUUUGCCAGAGUUAAAUAUGUUACAGCAGGGGUCUCCA